UUAAGCGACUAAGCGUACACGGUGGAUGCCCUGGCAGUCAGAGGCGAUGAAGGACGUGCUAAUCUGCGAUAAGCGUCGGUAAGGUGAUAUGAACCGUUAUAACCGGCGAUUUCCGAAUGGGGAAACCCAGAGUGUUUCGACACACUAUCAUUAACUGAAUCCAUAGGUUAAUGAGGCGAACCGGGGGAACUGAAACAUCUAAGUACCCCGAGGAAAAGAAAUCAACCGAGAUUCCCCCAGUAGCGGCGAGCGAACGGGGAGCAGCCCAGAGCCUGAAUCAGUGUGUGUGUUAGUGGAAGCGUCUGGAAAGGCGCGCGAUACAGGGUGACAGCCCCGUACACAAAAAUGCACAUGCUGUGAGCUCGAUGAGUAGGGCGGGACACGUGGUAUCCUGUCUGAAUAUGGGGGGACCAUCCUCCAAGGCUAAAUACUCCUGACUGACCGAUAGUGAACCAGUACCGUGAGGGAAAGGCGAAAAGAACCCCGGCGAGGGAGGUGAAAAAGAACCUGAAACCGUGUACGUACAAGCAGUGGGAGCACGCUUAGGCGUGUGACUGCGUACCUUUUGUAUAAUGGGUCAGCGACUUAUAUUCUGUAGCAAGGUUAACCGAAUAGGGGAGCCGAAGGGAAACCGAGUCUUAACUGGGCGUUAAGUUGCAGGGUAUAGACCCGAAACCCGGUGAUCUAGCCAUGGGCAGGUUGAAGGUUGGGUAACACUAACUGGAGGACCGAACCGACUAAUGUUGAAAAAUUAGCGGAUGACUUGUGGCUGGGGGUGAAAGGCCAAUCAAACCGGGAGAUAGCUGGUUCUCCCCGAAAGCUAUUUAGGUAGCGCCUCGUGAAUUCAUCUCCGGGGGUAGAGCACUGUUUCGGCAAGGGGGUCAUCCCGACUUACCAACCCGAUGCAAACUGCGAAUACCGGAGAAUGUUAUCACGGGAGACACACGGCGGGUGCUAACGUCCGUCGUGAAGAGGGAAACAACCCAGACCGCCAGCUAAGGUCCCAAAGUCAUGGUUAAGUGGGAAACGAUGUGGGAAGGCCCAGACAGCCAGGAUGUUGGCUUAGAAGCAGCCAUCAUUUAAAGAAAGCGUAAUAGCUCACUGGUCGAGUCGGCCUGCGCGGAAGAUGUAACGGGGCUAAACCAUGCACCGAAGCUGCGGCAGCGACACUAUGUGUUGUUGGGUAGGGGAGCGUUCUGUAAGCCUGUGAAGGUGUACUGUGAGGUAUGCUGGAGGUAUCAGAAGUGCGAAUGCUGACAUAAGUAACGAUAAAGCGGGUGAAAAGCCCGCUCGCCGGAAGACCAAGGGUUCCUGUCCAACGUUAAUCGGGGCAGGGUGAGUCGACCCCUAAGGCGAGGCCGAAAGGCGUAGUCGAUGGGAAACAGGUUAAUAUUCCUGUACUUGGUGUUACUGCGAAGGGGGGACGGAGAAGGCUAUGUUGGCCGGGCGACGGUUGUCCCGGUUUAAGCGUGUAGGCUGGUUUUCCAGGCAAAUCCGGAAAAUCAAGGCUGAGGCGUGAUGACGAGGCACUACGGUGCUGAAGCAACAAAUGCCCUGCUUCCAGGAAAAGCCUCUAAGCAUCAGGUAACAUCAAAUCGUACCCCAAACCGACACAGGUGGUCAGGUAGAGAAUACCAAGGCGCUUGAGAGAACUCGGGUGAAGGAACUAGGCAAAAUGGUGCCGUAACUUCGGGAGAAGGCACGCUGAUAUGUAGGUGAAGCGACUUGCUCGUGGAGCUGAAAUCAGUCGAAGAUACCAGCUGGCUGCAACUGUUUAUUAAAAACACAGCACUGUGCAAACACGAAAGUGGACGUAUACGGUGUGACGCCUGCCCGGUGCCGGAAGGUUAAUUGAUGGGGUUAGCGCAAGCGAAGCUCUUGAUCGAAGCCCCGGUAAACGGCGGCCGUAACUAUAACGGUCCUAAGGUAGCGAAAUUCCUUGUCGGGUAAGUUCCGACCUGCACGAAUGGCGUAAUGAUGGCCAGGCUGUCUCCACCCGAGACUCAGUGAAAUUGAACUCGCUGUGAAGAUGCAGUGUACCCGCGGCAAGACGGAAAGACCCCGUGAACCUUUACUAUAGCUUGACACUGAACAUUGAGCCUUGAUGUGUAGGAUAGGUGGGAGGCUUUGAAGUGUGGACGCCAGUCUGCAUGGAGCCGACCUUGAAAUACCACCCUUUAAUGUUUGAUGUUCUAACGUUGACCCGUAAUCCGGGUUGCGGACAGUGUCUGGUGGGUAGUUUGACUGGGGCGGUCUCCUCCUAAAGAGUAACGGAGGAGCACGAAGGUUGGCUAAUCCUGGUCGGACAUCAGGAGGUUAGUGCAAUGGCAUAAGCCAGCUUGACUGCGAGCGUGACGGCGCGAGCAGGUGCGAAAGCAGGUCAUAGUGAUCCGGUGGUUCUGAAUGGAAGGGCCAUCGCUCAACGGAUAAAAGGUACUCCGGGGAUAACAGGCUGAUACCGCCCAAGAGUUCAUAUCGACGGCGGUGUUUGGCACCUCGAUGUCGGCUCAUCACAUCCUGGGGCUGAAGUAGGUCCCAAGGGUAUGGCUGUUCGCCAUUUAAAGUGGUACGCGAGCUGGGUUUAGGACGUCGUGAGACAGUUCGGUCCCUAUCUGCCGUGGGCGCUGGAGAACUGAGGGGGGCUGCUCCUAGUACGAGAGGACCGGAGUGGACGCAUCACUGGUGUUCGGGUUGUCAUGCCAAUGGCACUGCCCGGUAGCUAAAUGCGGAAGAGAUAAGUGCUGAAAGCAUCUAAGCACGAAACUUGCCCCGAGAUGAGUUCUCCCUGACUCCUUGAGAGUCCUGAAGGAACGUUGAAGACGACGACGUUGAUAGGCCGGGUGUGUAAGCGCAGCGAUGCGUUGAGCUAACCGGUACUAAUGAACCGUGAGGCUUAACCUU
This 2901-nucleotide ribosomal RNA is filed under the name Escherichia coli DEC6A. RNAcentral describes it as "bacterial LSU rRNA". It matches the Rfam family "Bacterial large subunit ribosomal RNA". The record is from RNAcentral. Lineage: Bacteria; Pseudomonadati; Pseudomonadota; Gammaproteobacteria; Enterobacterales; Enterobacteriaceae.